CUUAACGGAAACACGUCUUCUGGACUCUCUGCGUGACAGUUUCCGGCGAGGAGUGGGUGUCCCUACAGGAGGUCCGGAAACCUCACCACUGUUUUCGCUGGAAGUAUCUCUGAGCCAUCCCCCCAGCUCCCUUUCCCUCAGUUCAGCUUCUCUCCCCCUGCUGGUUUCCUCUUCAGCUGCUGAGUCUCUUCCAACCUGUCUGAGCCCUUUCACCUCCCUCAGUUCAGCUUCUCUCCCCUUGCUGGUUCCCUCUUCAGCUGCUGAGUCUCUUCCAACCUGUCUGAGUCCUUUCACCUCCCUUCCUUCCGAUGGCAGUUCCCUGACAC
Podarcis lilfordi (Lilford's wall lizard) is the source of this 326-nucleotide non-coding RNA. The record is from the annotation of a GenBank genome assembly. NCBI's taxonomy places the organism in Eukaryota, Metazoa, Chordata, Lepidosauria, Squamata, Lacertidae.